AUUGAACGCUGGCGGCAUGCCUUACACAUGCAAAUCGAACGGUAACGGGCCUUCGGGUGCCGACGAGUGGCGAACGGGUGCGUAAUACAUCGGAACGUGCCCGAUCGUGGGGGAUAACGAGGCGAAAGCUUUGCUAAUACCGCAUACGAUCUACGGAUGAAAGCAGGGGACCGCAAGGCCUUGCGCGGACGGAGCGGCCGAUGGCAGAUUAGGUAGUUGGUGGGAUAAAAGCUUACCAAGCCGACGAUCUGUAGCUGGUCUGAGAGGAGGAACAGCCACACUGGGACUGGGACACGGCCCAGACUCCUACGGGAGGCAGCAGUGGGGAAUUUUGGACAAUGGGCGCAAGCCUGAUCCAGCCAUGCCGCGUGCAGGAUGAAGGCCUUCGGGUUGUAAACUGAUUUUGUACGGAACGAAAAGCCUUCUUUUAAUACAGGAGGGUCAUGACGGUACCGUAAGAAUAAGCACCGGCUAACUACGUG
This 482-nucleotide ribosomal RNA is filed under the name uncultured bacterium. Its description in RNAcentral is "partial 16S ribosomal RNA". It matches the Rfam family "Bacterial small subunit ribosomal RNA", at positions 30 to 507 of the family's 1533-position model. The record is from RNAcentral.